UUUAAAAUAAGCUAAAUUUAAGCUAAUGAGUUCAUACCUCAUUUAUAUAGAUAUUCUAUUUUUAAAA
RNAcentral lists this transfer RNA (67 nucleotides) under Setodes brevicaudatus. RNAcentral's name for it is "tRNA-Met". The record is from RNAcentral. Lineage: Eukaryota; Metazoa; Arthropoda; Insecta; Trichoptera; Leptoceridae.